RNAcentral lists this ribosomal RNA (2806 nucleotides) under Escherichia coli. RNAcentral describes it as "bacterial LSU rRNA". It matches the Rfam family "Bacterial large subunit ribosomal RNA". Lineage: Bacteria; Pseudomonadati; Pseudomonadota; Gammaproteobacteria; Enterobacterales; Enterobacteriaceae. The record is from RNAcentral.
GGGUUGUGAGGUUAAGCGACUAAGCGUACACGGUGGAUGCCCUGGCAGUCAGAGGCGAUGAAGGACGUGCUAAUCUGCGAUAAGCGUCGGUAAGGUGAUAUGAACCGUUAUAACCGGCGAUUUCCGAAUGGGGAAACCCAGUGUGAUUCGUCACACUAUCAUUAACUGAAUCCAUAGGUUAAUGAGGCGAACCGGGGGAACUGAAACAUCUAAGUACCCCGAGGAAAAGAAAUCAACCGAGAUUCCCCCAGUAGCGGCGAGCGAACGGGGAGGAGCCCAGAGCCUGAAUCAGUGUGUGUGUUAGUGGAAGCGUCUGGAAAGGCGCGCGAUACAGGGUGACAGCCCCGUACACAAAAAUGCACAUACUGUGAGCUCGAUGAGUAGGGCGGGACACGUGGUAUCCUGUCUGAAUAUGGGGGGACCAUCCUCCAAGGCUAAAUACUCCUGACUGACCGAUAGUGAACCAGUACCGUGAGGGAAAGGCGAAAAGAACCCCGGCGAGGGGAGUGAAAAAGAACCUGAAACCGUGUACGUACAAGCAGUGGGAGCACGCUUCGGCGUGUGACUGCGUACCUUUUGUAUAAUGGGUCAGCGACUUAUAUUCUGUAGCAAGGUUAACCGAAUAGGGGAGCCGAAGGGAAACCGAGUCUUAACUGGGCGUUAAGUUGCAGGGUAUAGACCCGAAACCCGGUGAUCUAGCCAUGGGCAGGUUGAAGGUUGGGUAACACUAACUGGAGGACCGAACCGACUAAUGUUGAAAAAUUAGCGGAUGACUUGUGGCUGGGGGUGAAAGGCCAAUCAAACCGGGAGAUAGCUGGUUCUCCCCGAAAGCUAUUUAGGUAGCGCCUCGUGAAUUCAUCUCCGGGGGUAGAGCACUGUUUCGGCAAGGGGGUCAUCCCGACUUACCAACCCGAUGCAAACUGCGAAUACCGGAGAAUGUUAUCACGGGAGACACACGGCGGGUGCUAACGUCCGUCGUGAAGAGGGAAACAACCCAGACCGCCAGCUAAGGUCCCAAAGUCAUGGUUAAGUGGGAAACGAUGUGGGAAGGCCCAGACAGCCAGGAUGUUGGCUUAGAAGCAGCCAUCAUUUAAAGAAAGCGUAAUAGCUCACUGGUCGAGUCGGCCUGCGCGGAAGAUGUAACGGGGCUAAACCAUGCACCGAAGCUGCGGCAGCGACACUAUGUGUUGUUGGGUAGGGGAGCGUUCUGUAAGCCUGUGAAGGUGUACUGUGAGGUAUGCUGGAGGUAUCAGAAGUGCGAAUGCUGACAUAAGUAACGAUAAAGCGGGUGAAAAGCCCGCUCGCCGGAAGACCAAGGGUUCCUGUCCAACGUUAAUCGGGGCAGGGUGAGUCGACCCCUAAGGCGAGGCCGAAAGGCGUAGUCGAUGGGAAACAGGUUAAUAUUCCUGUACUUGGUGUUACUGCGAAGGGGGGACGGAGAAGGCUAUGUUGGCCGGGCGACGGUUGUCCCGGUUUAAGCGUGUAGGCUGGUUUUCCAGGCAAAUCCGGAAAAUCAAGGCUGAGGCGUGAUGACGAGGCACUACGGUGCUGAAGCAACAAAUGCCCUGCUUCCAGGAAAAGCCUCUAAGCAUCAGGUAACAUCAAAUCGUACCCCAAACCGACACAGGUGGUCAGGUAGAGAAUACCAAGGCGCUUGAGAGAACUCGGGUGAAGGAACUAGGCAAAAUGGUGCCGUAACUUCGGGAGAAGGCACGCUGAUAUGUAGGUGAAGCGACUUGCUCGUGGAGCUGAAAUCAGUCGAAGAUACCAGCUGGCUGCAACUGUUUAUUAAAAACACAGCACUGUGCAAACACGAAAGUGGACGUAUACGGUGUGACGCCUGCCCGGUGCCGGAAGGUUAAUUGAUGGGGUUAGCGGUAACGCGAAGCUCUUGAUCGAAGCCCCGGUAAACGGCGGCCGUAACUAUAACGGUCCUAAGGUAGCGAAAUUCCUUGUCGGGUAAGUUCCGACCUGCACGAAUGGCGUAAUGAUGGCCAGGCUGUCUCCACCCGAGACUCAGUGAAAUUGAACUCGCUGUGAAGAUGCAGUGUACCCGCGGCAAGACGGAAAGACCCCGUGAACCUUUACUAUAGCUUGACACUGAACAUUGAGCCUUGAUGUGUAGGAUAGGUGGGAGGCUUUGAAGUGUGGACGCCAGUCUGCAUGGAGCCGACCUUGAAAUACCACCCUUUAAUGUUUGAUGUUCUAACGUUGGCCCGUGAUCCGGGUUGCGGACAGUGUCUGGUGGGUAGUUUGACUGGGGCGGUCUCCUCCUAAAGAGUAACGGAGGAGCACGAAGGUUGGCUAAUCCUGGUCGGACAUCAGGAGGUUAGUGCAAUGGCAUAAGCCAGCUUGACUGCGAGCGUGACGGCGCGAGCAGGUGCGAAAGCAGGUCAUAGUGAUCCGGUGGUUCUGAAUGGAAGGGCCAUCGCUCAACGGAUAAAAGGUACUCCGGGGAUAACAGGCUGAUACCGCCCAAGAGUUCAUAUCGACGGCGGUGUUUGGCACCUCGAUGUCGGCUCAUCACAUCCUGGGGCUGAAGUAGGUCCCAAGGGUAUGGCUGUUCGCCAUUUAAAGUGGUACGCGAGCUGGGUUUAGAACGUCGUGAGACAGUUCGGUCCCUAUCUGCCGUGGGCGCUGGAGAACUGAGGGGGGCUGCUCCUAGUACGAGAGGACCGGAGUGGACGCAUCACUGGUGUUCGGGUUGUCAUGCCAAUGGCACUGCCCGGUAGCUAAAUGCGGAAGAGAUAAGUGCUGAAAGCAUCUAAGCACGAAACUUGCCCCGAGAUGAGUUCUCCCUGACUCC